AAAUAAGAAGCAACUAAUUGCAUUUAAUUUCGACUUAAAAGAUAGAGUUUAUUUACUCCUUAUUUA
This 66-nucleotide transfer RNA is filed under the name Neptis raddei. Its description in RNAcentral is "tRNA-Arg". Lineage: Eukaryota; Metazoa; Arthropoda; Insecta; Lepidoptera; Nymphalidae. The record is from RNAcentral.